GAUGAACGCUGGCGGCGUGCCUAAUACAUGCAAGUCGAGCGAACGGACGAGAAGCUUUCUUCUCUGAUGUUAGCGGCUGACGGGUGAGUAACACGUGGAUAACCUACCUAUAAGACUUGGAUAACUUCGGGAAACCGGAGCUAAUACCGGAUAAUAUUUUGAACCGCAUGGUUCAAAAGUGAAAGACGGUCUUUCUGUCACUUAUAGAUGGAUCCGCGCUGCAUUAGCUAGUUGGUAAGGUAACGGCUUACCAAGGCAACGAUGCAUAGCCGACCUGAGAGGGUGAUCGGCAACACUGGAACUGAGACACGGUCCAGACUCCUACGGGAGGCAGCAGUAGGGAAUAUUCCGCAAUGGGCGAAAGACUGACGGAGCAACGCCGCGUGAGUGAUGAAGGUCUUCGGAUCGUAAAACUCUGUUAUUAGGGAAGAACAUAUGUGUAAGUAACUGUGCACAUCUUGACGGUACCUAAUCAGAAAGCCACGGCUAACUACGUG
RNAcentral lists this ribosomal RNA (497 nucleotides) under uncultured bacterium. RNAcentral describes it as "partial 16S ribosomal RNA". It matches the Rfam family "Bacterial small subunit ribosomal RNA", at positions 28 to 507 of the family's 1533-position model. The record is from RNAcentral.